Ruditapes philippinarum (Manila clam) is the source of this 578-nucleotide long non-coding RNA. RefSeq lists it as uncharacterized. NCBI's taxonomy places the organism in Eukaryota, Metazoa, Mollusca, Bivalvia, Venerida, Veneridae. The transcript is spliced from 3 exons. The record is from RefSeq and is a predicted model, not a curated record.
UAAGUCUCGUUUACUUUCACUUUCGAUUUACCACUUCCGGGUACAUCGGCAGACUUAUUUACCGUUACGCAUAUAGGUAACCCGAAGAACUCGAGAGAUAUAGAAGUUAAAUUUGUUUCGGUCCUCUUCAGAUUUGAAGGAAUGGAAAGCACGGGUCAAAAAAUGCAGAUGUGUAGACAGGGAGGUAUAUGACAAGUAUAGAAUAUACAGUUGUUCACUAUGGACCAUUAAUCAACUGUUUGCACUGCCUAUGAUCCUGAAAUAUCUAUACAUCAAAGAUAAAAAGGAAAAAGAUGAAGGAGAAUUUGUCCAUGAAGACCUUUAUUGCAACUACCAUUUUCCAGUUCCUUAAUUUGAGAAUGAUAUCAGAGAACACACAGUUACAGUGAAAUAUUAGUUUAAUAUAAGCCACAAAAUAUUCUUAUUCUUGUAUCAGUAGACAUUCACAGUGUAAAGUUACACUGUCUAAAUAACUAAUAAUAAUUUCCAGUGCUUUCCUGAAGUUUUUCUUCCACUGGAAUAUCAGUGUGAUAUAUAUGCUAAGCAGUGCACUAUAAAUUGUGUAAAAAUAAAAGUUU